GGCGCGGCUCCCCUCAGCGCGGCUCCCCUCAGCGCGGCUGGAGCGGUGUGGGACGCGGCCCUGUGAGGGGCUGCGGGGAGGGGUUUGCCUUCAGUGGAGCGGUUUUUUCGAUGCCAACGCCGAACGGGAGUAACCUGUGGAGCCGAGGGAGUGCUGCGACCUAAUGUGAAACCUGAGUGAGGGGCGCUGAGCGGGAGAGCCCGGCAGCACUGAGGUGUGUGGCGGUGCCAGAACCCCUCAGCGCUACGGAGCCCGCAGAGGUGGGCUGUGCAGGGGCUGGAGUCCCGCUUCCUGUAACACGAGCAUUGCCAGGAGCAUCCCAUCACGGGCACGGCCAUUUAGGAGCAGCUGGGUGCGUUGAAAGACCAUCUUCAAGGUAUCUGGAAAAUUAAUGGAGUCUACGUUAUGUCAUCAGUCUGGUAGGAUCGGGUGGAGACGUGAUGGCCUUGGAAUGUCAUAGGUUUGCAGAAAGAGAGGAGUGCUGACUUGGAGCAUCCCUGAGAUGUUGUGUGCUACCAGCUUCAGUGCUUCCAGCCUUGAAUGUGGAUGGAAUUAAGUCUCGUGCCAUACCCACUUGUUGUCCACAAGUUGCUGGGACCUUGUAUGUCUCUGACAGUGAAAGGACGAUACUGCUGAAACACACGUGUGUAAAGUGGCCAAAGACUGACAGAAAGGUAGAGUAAAAGAAAACUUUGAGAGUCAUUUUUUUCCAGAUUAAAUUGUUUGAUCUGGCACUAAUACAUCACUCAGGCAAGCUUCAGUUAAAGUCGGUUCUGCUCUCUUUUUAUGUGCCUCCUACUGCCUCUGAAUAAAUCUUACACCCUUCUCCACUGAGCAGUAUUCAAAUACUCCCUGUUCUGAGGCCUCUGCCAGCCUAACAUGAACUUGAAAGCUGAAACUCAAGAAAUAAUUUUUCCUGAUUUUUUUAAAAAUUAAUUAUUUUUAUUGCUGCAUUGAGCAAUAAUGCUUGCACUGCCAGGGAGUUGGCAGUUGUGAUGGGGAUGCACGUUAUCGAUGUUGGGUGGUAAUGGGCAAUCCAACGCCAUUUCUGUGUCUCAUAGCUGCUGCAUCAUUUCAUGUAGCAAUAAACACUGCAAACUCUCAUAACUUUCAGAGAAUGCCUAUGAUUUAUGGCUUAUAGCCCAAAUAACCAAACACAUAAAUAAAUAAUUUCACCUUUCAGUCUGGAAAUAUAUGUAUAUAACUCUAUGUAUCAUCUGUAUACCCAGACCUAUAUAACUUCUGGCAUGACCUUUCUCGUGUUGCUUUUUAAAAAGCUUCUAUAGCUGAAAAAAUGGGCAAGGUUGGGAGAAAAAAAAAUCAUGGAGAAAAACAAGGUUUAAAAGGCAAGAAAUGAGGACAGUUUGUGUAAGAUUUUAUUUGUGCAGGAUAUGUCUAAGGGGAGAGGGGAAUAACGUUGUGUGCUGUUUUGAUUGGUUUUGGAGAUAGCUGGUCAUUUUGCAUAUGGCAGAAUGUUUAAAUAUUUUGGUAACAUUUUUACAAAACUUCAUGUCUCCGAAAGGGAAGAUUCCUUUUUUGCUGUAAAUGAAAUGGCUGUUCUCAGAGAAGUGUAUGAGAUCACGUUUGUCGAUGUGUAUUCCAGUUUCAUUCACCUUCUAGCCCACAGACUUUACUAGGAGGCGUUGCUGAUCUGCAUAUAUUGUGACAAGGUUUCGGUAUAUCAGAGUGGAUCACACAAAUGUAGUGCCUAAUCCAGAGGACACAAAGCAGUGCAGAC
Molecule: long non-coding RNA, 1738 nt
Organism: Numida meleagris (helmeted guineafowl)
Lineage: Eukaryota; Metazoa; Chordata; Aves; Galliformes; Numididae
Exons: 5
Source: RefSeq, a predicted model, not a curated record